Molecule: RNA transcript, 1190 nt
Organism: Zea mays
Lineage: Eukaryota; Viridiplantae; Streptophyta; Magnoliopsida; Poales; Poaceae
Exons: 4
Source: RefSeq, marked validated
AAAUCAGCCUGUUCGGUCACCAAAUCACUUAGAAAAUCACGUUGCGAGUCGCCCGGUCGCCCGUCGUGGUGGUUAACUGGUCUGGGACUCUGGGAGUCAUCUCCACGCUCCGGGUUCGCGCCCGACUCCCCUACAAAUUCGCUCCACCGGCGGCUCCGGCUGCAAACCGCGACUGACUGCUGACCCCGAGCGGCACCAGCGCGCCCGCCCCGCCAUGGCUAUCCCCAACGCCUUUGACUCCCCCCUCGCGGCCAGGUCCGCCGUCGGCGCGGCGCUGGCGGCCGUCAUCGCCGUCCGCGCGGUCCGCCGCCGCUCCCUAGACGCCUCGGGCGGGGUCGCCGGCUUCGUCGUCAUGGCGGUCCACAUCUCAUGCGGCUACAGGUACGGGGCGCUGCUGCUGGCCUUCUUCUUCUCAUCGUCCAAGGUAACCAAGAUCGGGGAGGACCACAAGCGCCGCAUCGAGGAGAACUUCAAGGAGGGCGGGCAGCGCAACUGGAUCCAAGUUCUAGCAAAUAGCACAAUUGCCACUGUACUGGUUGUGAUAUUUGCACUAAUGACUGGAGGGCAAGAUCAGUGCAUGGACUCAAAUGGUUCAAAGCUUAUAACUGGCAUCAUAGGUGGUAUCAUUGGCCACUACUGUUGCUGCAAUGGAGAUACUUGGUCAUCUGAAAUCGGUGUGCUUAGUAAUGAACAACCAAGGCUUAUUACAUCCCUUAAGGAGGAGGCCUUAUCAUUGGUCUCACUUUCGUUGUUGUUGGACUGUUGACUGCUGAAUGUUCUUCCGAUAUGGCCAUCAGGCAGCUCCUAGUACUACCCAUCUCUGCUGCAGCUGGUUUGCUUGGGAGUCUAAUUGAUUCAUUGCUGGGAGCUACACUUGAAUUCAGUGGGUAUUGCAGUGUUCGGAAGAAGGUGGUCAGCAAAAGGGGCCCUACGGUUACAAAGAUUUCUGGGAUGACUAUCCUGGACAACGAUGCUGUUAAUGCAGUAUCUAUUCUGCUAACAACUGUACUUACAGCUUAUGUAUGCAUUUGCAUCUUUUAGAAAACUAGUUGGGUAAAUCUUGAGUUGAACCCUAUUUUUCAUUGGGCAAUGUAUUGUGACCUUAGCCUGCACGGUUCCUGGAAAUGGAACAGCCUGCAACUUCUCUGUGUAUUGGUACAAUUUGUAUUAUGGCACAGAAAGGCCGAUUC